UGAUAUAAUUCAUUAGUGCUAACAGACAACACUAAUGGUGGAAAAAAAAAACUCGAGAUCAUUAGAAUUCACCGCACUAAUUCUCCAGAGGCGGAUUGAUUUGCAUGCCCAAAUCAGCCGUCUAAGCUGACAAUUAACUUCCCCAGCAGGGGAGAUCUGUGUGGGGCCGCUGUGGGGGGGCUGGGCAUGCAAAUCAAGUAAUUAUGAGUGCCAGUUGAGGAUUAAUUAAAAAGGUGUUUAAAGUUGGCAAAGACCAUCUUUUAAACAUUACUUACGUGUGUGUGUCAUUUGGGGGGAAUAAAUGCAUACUGUAACAAGGAAAUAAAAUGUUAAAAAUAUACAAUAAUAUUGAUGCAGAUUUUAAUUUAUUAAUGUAGCGAUAAUGCGCAAAAUGCACCUCACAGGAGGUCAUUGACUUGUUGAAGGCUGUAGUACCGCCGCAAUGCCACAUGAUCGUUUAUGGCCAACCAUCACUGAAAGGAAGACGAAGAAGAAGAAGAAGAAGAAGUAACACCACCUCAUGGUCACAAGAUGGCAGUGAAGUCAGUCUAAUGGUGACUGGCUCCUGUCAAAACGAGGGCACAUGACGUCUGUUGUCUGCCUACCAUCUGCAGAUAGUCCGAAAAUAAUCAUGAAACGGACGCCAGACUUCAUUUUCCCUUGCCCCAUUUUGUGAGAUGUGGUGGACCAAACUGGCAGCCUGUGGGACUUCCAGCUCACUGAGGGGGGGAGGAGAAAACGCUUGCCUGAAGGGUUAAAAAUACGCCAAACAAGCAGGAAAACAGUUCCAUUCCCAUUUGUCUCUGACCAUGUGACCUGUCUGGGGCUGGCUGCCAUGUCUGUGACUGCCCAGUCUGGGAACCGACCUCAGCCAAAAAGGAAACUCUACAUUAAGCGACAAUGACAAUUCAGGUAGGCGCCCGCUUGGAAAGCAAAAGUAUACAGGCAAUGAAGCAUGACUCCAUCUUCCUUUUGGUGGAAAAAAGCUCAUCAUCAAUCAUUCAAAGAGGGGAGGUGUUUUGCAUAUGUUUUGCUGGCAUCUCCCCGUCCGUCAAUGCGGUAGGUCAGAUAUGGAACAAUCAUGGUGUUGUAUAAAACAUACAGAGCUUUGUUAUCCAAUGAAUCCUUUACUUUGUGUAACAGUGCUAUUGUUCUUGAUAUUUUUACCUUUGUGUACUGUAUAUGUGAUUUCCAACACAAAUUCUCAUCUAGAAUGAUACCCAAAAAUGUGGUUUUCCUUAUUCUAUUAAUUCCAAUACCAAUAUUGUAAUGUCGGGGGAAUAACCAUGAGGCAGGAUGACUGUGCAAAAUCAGCCUUUUAUUGGCGUCUACAUAACGGCACUGUGUACCUUUCAGUAAGAUGCAUUCCACAUGUCAGUGCAGCAACUCUUCUUUGCUUUUGGACUGACUUUAACGAGCAGACAAACACCGCUGCCCCCUCUAGACCAAUCCCUGAAUCACAGCCCAGAACCAUACACGAUAUUCCCAUCACUACAAUAUCAUGUGAAAACAAAUGAAUUUAAACAGCCUACACCUCUCACCUUACCCCGCUGGCAACACGCACCACACCUUCCAUGCAACAUACACCACACACCAGCCUUGCAAGUGUGCUUUACCCUUACCGCUUUCAUUCCUCUUCUGGUGAAAUCAUAUUUUCUAGCCACCGCCGCCAGAUUUGUUUGGUCACAGCGGCGCCUGCUUGAUAGAUACCCCAUACACAUAUACUCGUCAGCGCACCUCCAAACCACCCUUUUGGAGAGUUUGUAUGACAGUUUGGAGAUAUGUGAACUCAAGAGUGCCAGAGCCUCCGCAGCGUGUGUGAAGCACACACACAGAUUUUGGCGGCGACUAAUGUAAAUGCUGCUCCCACUGCCAGAAAUUAUACUCAGAAUAGAAACAGUG
Long non-coding RNA from Dunckerocampus dactyliophorus (ringed pipefish), 1902 nucleotides. RefSeq lists it as uncharacterized. The transcript has 5 exons. NCBI's taxonomy places the organism in Eukaryota, Metazoa, Chordata, Actinopteri, Syngnathiformes, Syngnathidae. The record is from RefSeq and is a predicted model, not a curated record.